GGUUUCUGGUCUGUAGACUAGGAUAUUGGAGUUUUAGUCACGUUACUGGAGGCAUGAGGGCCCUAAAGCAGCAGCUUGGAACAGGUGCAUGGUAAGUUGUGGGAGUGGAGGACUGUGGGGAAAGGACAGGCCUUCCCUAAGUGAGGGGCUACUACUGUGGAGAGUGGUCUAGUUUCCUCUCUGCCCCUACGAGCAUCCAGGGGAAGAAGCUGGUGGUCAAUGAUGGGCAGACUAGUCCUAGGUCCUAAGACACUGGAGUGUCUGGAUGACUAGUGUGACCUCUCAGAGAAGAGGUGCACACCCAGGGGUCUGGCUAUGGGAAGGGGAGGGUGUCAGUACAGGAACUGCAGGGACUAGGCCAGGCUGGGUGCACAGAGGCAAGGACAGGGUCGUGAGGCUGGUGCUUGAUGAGAAAAACUCAGUCUAGAUAUCUGGGCCAGGCCCCAGGAGAGUAGGGGUCAGGCCUUCAUGGUUGGUGUUGGAGAGCCCUGAACAGGAUAUGACUUGGUCUUCCCUGUGGAGAACUCGGAGGACUAGCUGGAGCAUUCAGGUAUUUAAGGAACAAUGUCAGUGUGCCAGGAACUCUUGGGGAGCUUACAUCCCAGUGGAAGAGAGAGUUCACCUCUUUGAGCUUUCUGGCAAAGUCAAGGGUGCUAAGUGCUGUGUCAGGGCCGUCCAAAGGUCCUGAUAUGAGUAGGACUUGGAGGAGGUCAGUCAGGACCAGCCUUGUUUGGGUGUUGAAACACAGGAGUAUCUGUGUGGAGGAAGCCUGGGGGAGCGGGGCGCAGGGGAGCACGAGGUCCUCAAGGUUCUCAGUGGUUGCAUCAGGAGUGCCCAGGUCAUCUUGUCCUGGGCAGAGGAUGGGUUUAGAAGAGAAUGUCGGCUGUGUAUCCUUUGUAUCUUCCAGAGGUACACAGCCCUCCAACUCCGGGACAAUGUGUGGGAGUGCCUUUGGCUCCGGCGUUCCCCUAGCUCCUUUGUCCACAGGAUGCUCUUGGCUGCCAGGAAGUUCCUACUCCUCAUCUUUCCAGGCCCAGGUUUCCAAUUGCAACGGGCUUUUGUGUGGCACUAGAAGAAACCAGCUUUUGCAAGCAUGGGGCUGA
Molecule: long non-coding RNA, 1103 nt
Filed under: Piliocolobus tephrosceles (Ugandan red Colobus)
Lineage: Eukaryota; Metazoa; Chordata; Mammalia; Primates; Cercopithecidae
Description: lncRNA (ENSPTEG00000008316.1)
Source: RNAcentral